Molecule: ribosomal RNA, 301 nt
Filed under: uncultured bacterium
Lineage: Bacteria
Description: partial 16S ribosomal RNA
Rfam family: Bacterial small subunit ribosomal RNA
Source: RNAcentral
CGUCGCCGCGGGAAAACAGAGGGUGCAAGCGUUAAUCGGAAUUACUGGGCGUAAAGCGCGCGUAGGUGGUUUGUUAAGUUGGAUGUGAAAUCCCCGGGCUCAACCUGGGAACUGCAUCCAAAACUGGCAAGCUAGAGUAUGGUAGAGGGUGGUGGAAUUUCCUGUGUAGCGGUGAAAUGCGUAGAUAUAGGAAGGAACACCAGUGGCGAAGGCGACCACCUGGACUGAUACUGACACUGAGGUGCGAAAGCGUGGGGAGCAAACAGGAUUAGAGACCCGAGUAGUCCCUGUCUCUUAUACA